GCCUUGAAGGAUACUGUUAACAUUUCAGAACUGUUUGGAAGGGAUCGUUACAAAUAUGUGGAGCCCUUAGCAAUUCAUCCAGAUUGUGAUUUGAUUUUCCUUGCUGACCGGAGGGGGAAGGCUAUCUCAUAUGAUAUGGACAGCAAGAAAGUGCAUGUUAUUGGCACUUACCAAACAUUCGAUGGUGCUGUACCUUAUGUUCCAUGUUUUGCGGAAUGGCCGUCAGAUGGUCACUGACCUUGCUGGAACUAUAUUGUCUUCAUAAAUUUAGCCAUGGAGAAUAUGCAACACCUAGCAACACCUUCCAGUAGCUAAUGCUUACUUGUAUGAAUGAGUCUAGGUAUUUGAUGUAUCGGCUGCAUCUAGUGCUAAUCAUUAUGGUCACCUGUUAGCUCUUGGUGUGGGGUAACUGUGAGGGUAUAUUAUCUAUGUUUGAAAUUGGUUGGAUUUUCACCUCUUUAUUUUUCGUUUAAGACUGGAGAUGCUUAUCUCUUGUUGCAAGUACAUUUAUCUUUUAUGGACAACUUGUUAUCCAUCAGUUCUGAAUAUUGAUAUCGCCUUGUUCUUAUGCACAUGUUAAAGACUGGAGAUGCCUAUCUCUUGUACGUUUAUUAUUCUUCCAUUUUAUUUCACUUCAUUAGGGGAAGAGGAUUUUUCGAGGGGAGGAGAAUAACAUGACCCUCCAGUGUAUUUUUAGUUCUUGUUUCCACUGAGCUCUGUUGUGACCAUUCUCCUACUUGAAUUCUGACUAUGCUGUCAGAGUAAAUCUAUUUUUGAGCAUCUUGCGAUUUUGUUUACUGUGAUGUUAGUUUACAGAUUUUUCUCAUCUCGUUCCAAAAUUGUGCAGUGAGUUCCUAAAUAUGCAAAUUGAAUUGUUUGCAUAUUGUCUGAGAUUAUAUCUGUUUGUCCAAGAUGACAUUUUUCCUCAGUGAAAUAUAAUUACCAAAGGUUUUUAUCAGUGCAUUUUCCCCUCAUAAACCUAAACACUCCUUCCAUGUGUCACUGCCAUUUGGCAGCAUCCACUAGAACGUAAAACACAAAUUGUAUGACGACCAGUUCCUGGGCAUCUAGCAUUGCGAUUGUUAGUGUUGGUUCCAGCGACAGUUUUCUUUACCUGUAUAUAAGCGUGAGCCUGAGAGACUAUCUAGAGGAUGGUCACUGACAGAGAAAAUAAGCCAAGAACUAUAGUCAUCAAGGUGUCUCUUUCUUGUUUUCAAGCCCAAAACGCCGCUGCAUCCCGAACUCCCAGUUCCUUCCAAUCAGAAACCAAUGAGGGUUACAACAUGGAAACCCUCUAAUAUUGUCCAUAAUUAAGAGGAAACUUAUAUCUUAGGUAGAGAAAUAACAGAGUAGUAUUGAUCCAGUUAACAAACAUCAAAACAGAGAUGAAACUAUUUUGACAUCUCCUAAUAAGGAAUUAAAGAGCAUGGGCGUCUUGCUUUACUAAGCCAAAGCAUUCUAGGAAAACAAAAUAACCAGAGCCAUUUGCCUUGUAAGCCUUGAGAAAUGCAAUGGACAACCUAGGCAAAAUAAAUAAAUAAGUGAUGGUUUUUUUAUUUUUCUAAAUAUUUUUUGAAUUUAAGAUUUUUUUAACAUUUCGUGAACUUUUUUGUANNNNNNNNNNCUUGUGGACAAAACGUAGCAUAUAACUUAAAAAUGGCUAAUAUAUGUCAGUAGGAUCCUCUCCUACUGUCUUCGAUUGCUCAAAAAAAAAUACCGGCCUUUUUUUUGAGGUGUGGCAAUUAGUGACAUGGGAUCGAGCAACAAGCGACCAGAGCGAGCGAGGAGGAGCAACGAUCGAGAGCUCGAGCUCAAUGGGCCGGAUCAAUCAACUUUCUAUGUGGGCGCCGGAACCAUGAAUCGACGCUAAAGGCAUCCAUUAGACAAAAUCAUUAAUUGAGGAGCACUUGAUACGUCUUCAACGUAUCUAUAAUUUUUUAUUGUUUCAUGCUAUUAUAUUAUCCAUCUAAAAUGUUUUAUAUGCCUUUAUAUGCUAUUUUAUAUGAUUUUUGGGACUAACCUAUUAACCUAGAGUCCAGUGUCAGUUUCUGUUUUUUCCUUAUUUUUGAGUAUCGCAGAAAAGGAAUACCAAACGGAGUCCAAUUGACCUGAAAAUUCACGGAGAUUGUUUUUGGACCAGAAGAAGCCCGCGAAGCAUCGGAGAUGGACCAGAAGAGUCCCGAGGCCACCACGAGGGUGGAGGGCGUGCCCUACCCCCCUGGGCGCGCCCCCUACCUUGUGGCUGCCUCGUGGACCCCCCUGACUUGUUCCCGACGCCAACACAUCUUAUUUAUCCCCAAACUUCCAGAACAUAACCUAGAUCAGGAGUUCAGCCGCUGCAAGCCUCUGUAGCCACCAAAAACCAAUCGGGGCCCUGUUUCGGUAACCUGCCGGAGGGGGAUCCAUCACCGGUGGCCAUCUUCAUCAUCCCGGCGUUCUCCAUGACAAGGAGGGAGUAGUUCACCCUCGGGGCUGAGGGUAUGUACCAGUAGCUAUGUGUUUGAUCUCUCUCUCCCUCUCUCUCUCUCUCUCGUGUUCUCGAUUUGACACGAUCUUGAUGUAUCGCGAGCUUUGCUAUUAUAGUUGGAUCUUAUGAUGUUUCUCCCCCUCUAUCUCUUGUAAUGGAUUGAGUUUUCCCUUUGAAGUUAUCUUAUCGGAUUGAGUCUUUAAGGAUUUGGGAACACUUUAUGUAUGUCUUGCAUGUGCUUAUCUGUGGUGACAAUGGGAUAUUCACGUGAUCUACUUGAUGUAUCACUACACCACAGCACUACAUCUGUGACAAACAAGUUGGUCGGAAAAACAGCAUCCGCCGACAGGCAGUCGGUCGAGAAAGAGUAUUGUCGACCGACCGCGUCUGUUGGGCAAAGUCCAGACGGGAAAGCCUUUUGCCGACCGACAUAUCUUUGACGACCGACAGUUGGAUGACGAUACAAGACAUUGCCGACCGAACAUCUGUUGGCAGUACUAUGAACCUUUCCCGACCGAUUUUCCGUUGGUACUGUCCUAGAACUUUUCCCGACCGACUGUUUGACGGUGCAAUCUUUGCCGACCGAUAUUCUGCUGGCUCUGCUAUGUAUCUUUCCUGACGGAUAAUUGGAUGGUGUUGUUUUUACCAACCGACUCUCCGUUGGCUCUGGCGUAAGCCUUUGCCGACCGAUAAUAGGACGUUAUUUUCUUUUCCCAGCCAACAGUUCGUCGGCGUUUAGUUUAACUGAGCAAUAAAUAUGAACCUAUUAUAUAUUUCUCAUCUGCUUUAUACAAUAUCAAUCAAGUUGCAUAUCUCGUCACUACACAAUAUCAAUCAAGUUAACUAACUUGCAUGUACUCACAAAAAAUAAAUCAUGACCAAAGAAGGAUAAAACAGUAAUUCAUUCUCAUAAGCCUUCCAACAUUUAUAUGUUCCAGUCACUGAAUCACUCGAUAGGUUUACAAAAUGAUAGAUGCAUGUCCAUCGAUUCAUUGUUUGCUCCAUUACACAAAAUACCCAGAUGACAAGACCCCACCAUAUAGGCCCACAAAAUGAUCCUAAAAGACACUGUUUUUGCUCCAUUACACAAGAUGUCUAGCGAACACGAACUGCCAUCUUCAUGGUUCCUUCAUGGUCCUUUUGUACGUCUUACCUACAAAGGAUACAAAGUCACUGGUAAAUUCAUGCAUUCAUAGAGACAAUGGUGAAAAUAAUAAUUGCAUAAAGCAUCAAUGGCAGUGGGGUUUUAGUGUUAUAGAAAACAGGGCAAGUCCUAAAUAAUGCGACAACAUGUUUAAUUAGAAUCUGUACUGUGUUAGACAUAAUAGAGCAUCAAUGCCUGAUGGCCAUGGAAUAUAUUUCAUCAAGAAAUAUGAGCAAUAUGCGUCAUCUGGCUGCAGUUUAGCAUACGGCCAAUUAUUGGGAGCAACACAUUCAGGUACAGACUCACGAUGGUCAGUUUUUCUAGAAAAAACCACCAAUUUUCUUUCUUUCUUUUCUCUGGGCUGGAAAAGACUGCAGUGCGCCUGACGAUUAUAUUUAAAAAACCAUCAGAGAAUUACAUAUGCACGUCAAUGCCACAAAUUACAUUAAAGUAAGCCAUUAAUUUCAGAGAAGCAUAUGUACUGUACAUACAAAUCUUUACAGGUAUAAGAGCCAGAACCUGUGAAACCAUCAGGUUAUGCAUAAGAGAAAUAAAGAAGAUAGAAUGUAAUAUAUGGGCCUAGAAACAGGAUUCAGAAAAUAGCAAAACUAUAAAAAAAAAUUGUAUGACUACUUUAUGGACAUGAAUCAGGAUUCGGUAUAAGGAUACAAUGUACUAUAUGGACAUGAAUCUAAUUUAUUGCUAGUGGUAGAACUAAAAAAAUUGUAUGACUACUUUAAGAUCCAAAACUUGGAUUGCACCUGACCAUUAUAUUCAGAACAGUAAAUGUACUUUAGUGCACAAAUUAAAUUAAGUUUAGAAAUUAUUUUACACUUGUACAUCUCCUACAAGUUUAUGCAUUGCUGUCUAGUACAUCGCUGGUGCUAUUUGAGUAUCUUGGUGGCUAAUGUGUGGGGUCACAAUGGCUGUGCUAUAACUUUUUGGUGUGUGACAGUACCUUAGCAACUUGUGUACUUUGAGCAAAAGAAAGCACCAAGAAGCAUCUCUUUUACAAUACCUUAGCGGCGGGAUGAGGAAGAUGCCCCUGGUUUGUAGGGUUUCAUCUAGCAAAAUGAUCAUGAGUCAGUAUCACAAAUCAAACAAUUUGAGAUAAGUGGACAUAACACAUAUUGUAGGUGAUUACCUUGCUAGAUGGCCACGCAAUGGUCUUAUGACAGCAUGAGCGAUAAUUUGUAAACCAUCAUAUUCAUAAGGCACAGUGGCAUCCCUUCUGAUAGCAACAUUGACAAGAACCUCAUAAGUUGUUGGUCCAAGGAGCUCUCCACCCACAAUAGUGUCUGGGUCAACUGAGAUAAUCGUUGCCUUGGCAACAGGAGUUUCGGGACCAGUCCAUGCAUAUAGAAGCACAUCCAUACCAAUGUGAAUCAAUGAUUAUUUUAAAAACAUGAAAAUGAAACAGAAUUUAAACAUAUAGGUAAGGAUGUGAAGAUUACAAGGCUUUCAUCUUCAUGGACUGAUGAGCUUCUUGCAGGGGGCUUUGCAACAACUCUUCUAUGAACAAAUGGCUCUUCAUCAUCCUGUUCAACAUCUUCUUCAGCAUCGUUAUCUUCCUCAGCUUCAACUCCGGAGUUCUACCAGACAACAAUAUGGAAAUAGAGUUAGUGCAUGCAAGAUGGAUUAAUGAUGCAAUGAAAAGAUGUGAAAAUAGUUCAUUACUUGUCGAGAAUUGGAACCGUUGUGCGAGCUAGGAGUUUCCAGAUUAUGCCUUCCUUCUGAAGCUAACAUCAAUUCCAUUCGGUUCAUUCGUUCCUCCAUUUGUUGCACAUGCCCCUGGAGCAUGUUAAAGUGAUUUUCAGCUUCUCGGCGCCCUUCCAUUGCAACUAGAACUCUUGUGCUCAGUUUACCCCGUGUACCCGGUGUGCCCAAAUCUUGAGGUGUUGGCCCUAGACCUAACACACGGACACGACCCUUGGGCUCCUUUAGUCCACAUACACGUGCAAACAAAUCACCUUCUUUAAUGCUUUUGUCCUUCCAUUCAGGGUGCUUUUCAGCACUCUCUAUGAGUUCUUUCUGCAAAAUGAUAUUUACUUGCUCUAUAAAUUGUACUUGUACAAUUUUGGAGUAAUACUGAAAAACAUGGCAAAAGAGACUUACAAUUGUUGCUGCUGCCUGCGGCACAUAACUCCCUUUCCUUUCCCCUUUCUUGCAUGUAUGCUUUUCGAUAUAAACUUGAUCUCUCCGAGGAUCAUACCCAAGUUUGACAGCCUAUAAUCAUUUAUUUAUUUCAAUAUGCAUUAGUCACUGAAUCACAGUGGCAUAUCAUUUAUAAUUGCGGUAAUUAUUUUUACCAUUUCAGUGGCAACACGGGCAUGACUCUUGCUGCCAGAUGUAUGAGGUACUGCAUUGGCACGAUUCUUUUUGGCGAUAGCACUACAAGACUACAAGCAAAAAGUAAAGGAGAUUUAUCACACACAUUGUUUGUGUUUUGAGAAUCAUUACAUGCAUAUUUGUUUAUCUAUGUCCAGGAGAGAGUGUGCUGCAAAGAUACACUACAAUUUUGAUUAGCAGGAUGACUUACUUCAAAUGUCGAAGAUCUCCAAUAAGUAAUAAGGGUCUUCCAGUCAGCUUCACUAAUUCUGUUGUCACGUCUUUUCAUAAGGUGUGCAUCAGUGAGCGCAGCAUCAAACUUGUACCUCUUUAAAUCUGACUUCCAAUCCUUCCAUUUUAUGUGUGAAGUGUUGAUAACAAAGCUCAAAGCAGUUGAGUCCAGCUCAUAAAAUGCCUACUAAAAUGAGAGAAAACAGGACACUCAGUUAGAUGGCAUUAAAAAAGAGUGUGUAAGUUAUAAAUUAUGCUCAUUUCUACCUUCAAGGUCUCCCACACUAACAACUUUUUCUCUACAUCAACAUCUUGCCAAUCUAACUCUGCAGGUGGUAUAUCAAAGUACCAAUGAAAUUGGCAAAUUCAGUUGCAUCUGGCUCAACAGGCUGGCCAUCCCCAUUAAGUGGAAUAUGGAUUUUGGGUUGAUUCAGCCUUGCAUAUAUGUUAGCCUUACGUGCAAUUUAAACCACUCAUGAAAGGUCUCGUAAUGCACAUGCUUGACUUCUCGAUGACUUCUAACACCAACAGAAGAAAGGUAAUCCAUAUGUUUGCUGCAUAUAGGUUAUAUUUAUCAAUUGACAAGGAGGAGAGAGAUAACCUAAUAGCAAUACAUAGUAGGGAUAUCUUACUCUAGGUAUGGUUCUAUGUUGUCAUAAUUGAACAAGACGUAUCUGUGGGCUUGCAGCCAAGUUUUGUUAUCUAACAUCGCCAUGCACUUGCCAGCCAGCCCUCGACCAAUGUUGUGGAAGAAAGGAGUUGUAUCAUCAACUUCCCUAUCCAAACCUCCAUCAUUCCUAGCUCGAUUGAACCGACUCUCAUCAUCCAAAUAGUGUGAGCAAAAUGUCAAGCUCUCAUCAAACAAAUAGCCCUCUGCAAUUGAUCCUUCCACAUGACUUCUGGUGUGGACAUGUCCCUUGAGCUUUACUAUAUACCUCUCUACAGCCCACAUGCUGCGAAAAUGUACUGGACCAGCUAUCAUUGCUUGUGCUGGAAGAUGAACCAUCAAAUGCACCAUAAUAUCGAAAAAUGAUGGGAGGAAUAUGGCCUCAAGAAGGCUCAAGGUCUCAGCUAUUUCAUCCUGCAACCUUUGCAUGUCACUUAUGCGAAUAACCUGUGAGUACAUUCGCUUGAAAAAUCUGCUCACAUGAAUCAGUACCGCACUCACUCUUUCUGGUAAUGUUCUUCUCACUUCAAGUGGCAACAAGUCUUGCAAAAGGACAUGGUUGUCAUGGCUCUUUAGCCCAGUUAUCUUUUUCUCCUUAACAUGCACCUUACGGCGUAUGUCAGAUGCAUAACCAUUAUGAAACAUGGCAUUUUUAAAUACUUUGCAAAAUGUCCUCUGCUGAUCAGAUUCCAUUGUGUAAGGUGCCGGAGGAAAAAAACUUCAUCAUCAUCAAGAUCAAUAGGUUGAAGAUCCUUUCUAAUAUUGAGUGCUUGAAGGUGAUGUCGAGAAUUAAUAUUAUCCUUGGUUUUUCCAUUGACUGCCAACAAAGUGUUAACUAUGUUCUCACACACAUUUUUUCUAUGUGCAUGAUAUCAAAGUUAUGAUGCAUCUUCAAAUCCUUCCAAUAUGGUAGUUUAAACCAAAUAGACUUUCUUUUCCAAAUGAUCAGCGGAUCCCCUUUCUUGCGUUUCUUAGUUCUAGGCUUCUUCGUUAUAGGAUCCUUCCCAAACUUGGUUUGCAUAUUUUCUGUCAGCUCUAAGAUUUGCCUACCGGAAAGUGGAACGGGUGUUGUCCCACGUUCUAUGUUACCAAAUGUGUGUGUAUCAUACCUCAAGGGUUGUUCUGCACGUAAGAACCUACGAUGCCCCAUAUAGCAAGUCUUGCUACCAUUUUUUAGCCCAAGAGAACAUAAUUGAGAGUGGCAUUCAGGGCAAGCUCCUUCUCCAGAGGAAGCACAGGCAACCAAAGACCCAAGACCCGGUUUAUUUGUAAUUGUGCAUAUUAUGGCAGCAUGCAACUGAAAAUACUCUCUGGUUGAAGCAUCAUAGGUCCUAACACCAUCGAGAAACAUAUCUACCAUAUCAUCAACUAGUGGCUCAAGAUAGACAUCAAUAUCACUACUAGGAUAAUUUCUGCCAGGAAUCAACAUUGAUAGGAUGAAAUUUGAUUGCUUCAUAAUCAUCCAGGGUGGAAAGUUAUAAGGAAUCAAUAAUACUGGUCAAAUGCUAUAACUGAGAUUCAUGGAUCUAAACGGAUUAAAACCAUCGGCACAUACUACAAGCUUAAGAUUUCUGCUGUCUUUUGCAAAAUAUUUAUUUUUUUUCAUCAAAAUCUUUCCAAAGGAGGGAAUCUUUAGGAUGCCUAAUCAAGCCAUCUUAUGUGCGCUCUUCUGCAUGCCAUCUUGUGAGAGCCACAGUUCUGGAACACACAAACAACCUUUGAAGCCUCUUCUUUAUUGGGAAGUAACGAAGAACCUUCUUAGGAAGUGGACACGUUUCCCAUCUGUACUCUUCCUUUCAGAUUUCCAUCUUGAAGCCUUACAUUCUGGGCAUGAAUUGGCAUUGGCAGUGUUCUUCCAAAAUAGAAUGCAAUCAUUUUCACAUGCAUGGAUAUUAACAUACCCAAGUCCUAGGCAUUUGACUAGUUUUUUAGCUUCAUUGGAGUUUUUGGGUAUUGCAAACUGAGGGUAAGCAUCUUUUAGUAGAUCUAACAGCAGAUCAAAACUUCUAUCAGACCACCCUCCAAGAAGUUUGGUGUGAAGAAGUCUCACUAGGAAACGAAGCUUUGAGAAAUUCUUACAGCCUGGAUAUAGCUCUUGUCUAGAAUCAGCUUCAAGUUUGUGGAGAGAUUCUAGAAAAGAAUCAUCCUGAUCUAAACCACAAUCAUCUUCAAGAUCUCCCCCUUUAUCCAAACCAGUAGCAAGGUCUCUUAGCAAAUCAGAUAUAUCAUCGCCUCAUCCCUAUAGUCACCCUCAUCUAGAUUUGGAGGAACGGAAGAAGAAGAGACACGUUCUCCAUGAAACAUCCACUGUUUGUAGCCUUCUACAAAUCCCUCGCAUACCAGGUGCUCACGGACUUCAGACUCUUCUCUCCAGUACGAGUUCACAUAGUUUUUGCAAGGACAUAAGAUUUUAUUCUCAGCCGAUGAUUUAUUAAAUGCAUAGCCUAGGAAUUUGGCAAGCCCUUGUAAGUACUUCUUUGUAUGCCUACAUGCAAGUGUACAUGUGUAGUGUGUUAUAUAUAGUUUCAGCAUAUAAGCAAAACAAAAUAUAUAUGCGGCGUUAUACCUAGGCGCAUCCAUCCAACCUUUAUCCAUGGUAUCUUAGCUUCACAAUUGGUUACUACCAUGUCAACACUAAAUCCUGAACGAAUAAUAUCAAAACCAGAGAAUGCAAGGAAUCAAUUUAAGUACUGUAAAUAAAUUGGUGCGGAAAAGAAAUGAAGAAUCAUAGAACCAAUUCAAUGGUAGUACACAUAGUAAAGGCAGAUACCACCAUAAAUAAAAUGGAUCAAAGCUUUGGUUGACUCACCAACUGGUGGAGGAUGCAGCGACAAGCACGGGAGGGGGAUCGCUGCACCGCUGCUAGAAGCUGAGUCGUUGGCAGCAAGAAUCCUAAUAACCAAAAUAAUUAGACAAUAUAAAAGUCAGUGUCAAACAUGAGGAGGCAUCUCUACAUAUUCAUGACAUCCACACAUAUGGAGGGCCUCUGGACUUGAGUGGGGAAGAGAAACUCACCUAGUGGUUGCAGCAAAUAUUCUACAACUUCUCUUUGUCGGCUCAAUGUUACCAGCAGUGCUCCUCUUUGUUACCUAUAGAAAAAACAAGACAAAUGAACAAUUAGACUACAACUUUUGAGAUGCUGUGCUUUAUAUAUUUACAGCUCUCUCCCAUGUUUUCUUUCACUGCAAAAUCUACUUCAGUAAACAAAAGAGAAACUCUUUGUUACUGAAAUUUAGGUAUAACAUCAGGUCAGUUAAGUUGUAUGUUUUUAGAGACUCCAGCUUUUGGAUGUAUGUCCGAGUUGCAUGUUUUUAAAGGAAACAUGAUUCUAAAAGUCAAGAUGAUGUUUUUUAAUGAAGUAAUACAUUCUGUUGGCAAGGUCAAUCCAUAUGCAUGACAAUAUUUAGCUCCUCGGCGCUCUUUUUGUGUAUUAACUUUAUAGUUAAACUCUUCUUCAUUUGUCUUCAGAUCAUCCAGACAAGAAAACUCGACACCGAUGACUACAAAUUCCUUACUAUCGAGACGGUGGAAUUAAAGGACAGAACUGCAAUAAAAAAAAACAAAAUUUGCACACAACAACUCAACUUCUAGAAUUAGUUCAUAUUGCUACCACCAAGCUUCUACUCUGUACAUUGAUUAGCACAUUUUCUGCCUGCAUAGUAUCUCACAAUCAGACUAGCUGCAGUACACAUCAAACUGGAGAAGAAAAGCAAGAGGUGUAGCCAUUCCCUACUGCCGGAGCUCCCCGUUCCCCACCAGCCCACUCUCACAACAAAGCCUAGAGAGAGAGGGGGGAGGGAGGUAAAGACAGAGAGGGAAGAGUUGUACCUCAGCAUCGACCAUUGCCGCUGCCGCUGCGUGUCUUCGAGAGUUGGACAGUGGAGAUGGGGGAGGUCAGUCCAGGGAAGGUGGCUUGCCGCUUCCCAAGAUGCUCACACGCCUACUGCUGGUUAGAGAGAGGUGCCCGGAGAGAGAGAUCACUAGGCAUGAGGCCGGCGGUGGAGAGACAGGACGGCGUUGGGCGACAUUGACGGGGCAGGAUGGCGUGGGGCGGCGCUGUAGAGGGAGGGCGGCGGUGGAGCGGCGCCGCAGAGGGAGAGCGGCGUGGGGCGACGGUGGAGCGGCGCUGCAGAGGAAGGGCGGCGUGGGGCGGAGGUGGGACGACGUGGGGCGGCAGUGGGACAGCGUGGGAUCGACCGGCGGGAGCCCUGGCGGCGUGUGUGGGGAACGAAUACAUCGAGCUAGAGAUUUGGCUGUCCUGUGCAACGUGCGAGGGGAACGAAGGAGAUUGGGUUUUGGGGGGGAAAAUGUUCGCGGGUUGGGCCGUUUAUUGGAGCUAAAAUUUGGCCGUUCGCACGCAAGGCCCAGUUAGCUUCAGAAUGUCGGUCGACGUUAUUUACCGACCGACGGUCCGUGGGCCAUAACGGAUUUCCCAACCGACUGUUUGAUGAUAUAUGUUAUAGCAUUCCCGACCGAUAGUGUGUCACUGAACAGAUGUUUCCCGACCCACAGUCCGUUAGAAAUUUUUCUGAUAUAUUGUCGGUCGGCAAUGGUGACUUUUUCCCAACACACGCCAGUAGGGAAUUUUGGUGCAUGGUGUAGUGUAUGUUUUGGUGAUCAACUUGCGGGUUCAGUUACCUUGUGAACUUAUGCAUAGGGGUUGGCACACGUUUUCGUCUUGACUCUCCGGUAAAAACUUUGGGGCAUUUUUUGAAGUUCUUUGUGUUGGUUGAAUAGAUGAAUCUGAGAUUGUGUGAUGUGUAUCAUAUAAUCAUACCCACAGAUACUUGAGGUGACAUUGGAGUAUCUAGGUGACAUUAGGGUUUUGAUUGAUUUGUGUCUUAAGGUGUUAUUCUAGUAUGAACUCUAGGAUAGAACGAAUGGAAAGAAUAGCUUCGUGUUAUUUUACUAUGGACUUUUGAAUAGAUUGAUCGGAAAGAAUAACUUUGUGGUGGUUUCGUACUCCACAAUAAUCUCUUCGUUUGUUCUCCGUUAUUAGUGACUUUGGAGUGACUCUUUGCUGCAUGUUGAGGGAUUGUUAUAUGAUCUAAUUAUGUUAUCCUUGUUGAGAGGACUUGCACUAGUGAAAGUAUGAACCCUAGGCCUUGUUUCGAAGCAUUGCGAUACCGUUUGCGCUAACUUUUAUCAUUAGUUACCUUGCUGUUUUUAUAUUUUUCAUAUUACAAAAACCUAUAUCUACCAUCCAUAUUGCACUUGUAUCACCAUCUCUUCGCCGAACUACUGCACCUAUAUAAUUUAUCAUUGUAUUGAGUGUGUUGGAGACACAAGAGACUCUUUGCUAUUUGGUUGCAGGAUUAUUUGAGAGAGACCAUCUUCAUCCUACGCCUCCCACGGAUUGAUAAACUUUAGGUCAUUCACUUGAGGAAAAUUUGUUACUGUCCUACAAACCUCUGCACUUGAAGGCCCAACAACGUCUACAAAAAGAAGGUUGUAUAGUAGACAUCAGGACUACUUCCAAAGAUCACUUACACCUCGCCAGGUUAUGUAAUAUGAGGUUUUCCCUUUUUUCGUGGAUUUGUUUCUUAAUCGUACGUCCAAAUUUCGAACCGUUUUCAUUGUUGGAUUUCUUACAUCGAGACCUUCAAAACUAGAUCCCAUGUUACUGGGUUUUGAUGAACAUUUUUUUCACGAAAGAAUCGGACAAAAAGUCAGAUGAAAAAACCAAACCAAGGCAUGUUAUCGGCACUUAUGAAACAUUCGAUGGUGCUGUACCUUAUGUUCCAUGUUUUGCGGAAUGGCCGUCAGAUGGUCACUGACCUUGCUGGAACUAUAUUGUCUUCAUAAAUUUAGCCAUGGAUAUGCAACACCUAGCAACACCUUCCAGUAGCUAAUGCUUACUUGUAUGAAUGAGUCUAGGUAUUUGAUGUAUCGGCUGCAUCUAGUGCUAAUCAUUAUGGUCACCUGUUAGCUCUUGGUGUGGGGUAACUGUGAGGGUAUAUUAUCUAUGUUUGAAAUUGGUUGGAUUUUCACCUCUUUAUUUUUCGUUUAAGACUGGAGAUGCUUAUCUCUUGUUGCAAGUACAUUUAUCUUUUAUGGACAACUUGUUAUCCAUCAGUUCUGAAUAUUGAUAUCGCCUUGUUCUUAUGCACAUGUUAAAGACUGGAGAUGCCUAUCUCUUGUACGUUUAUUAUUCUUCCAUUUUAUUUCACUUCAUUAGGGGAAGAGGAUUUUUCGAGGGGAGGAGAAUAACAUGACCCUCCAGUGUAUUUUUAGUUCUUGUUUCG
RNAcentral lists this long non-coding RNA (13082 nucleotides) under Triticum aestivum (bread wheat). Its description in RNAcentral is "long non-coding RNA (TAES_LNC002113)". Lineage: Eukaryota; Viridiplantae; Streptophyta; Magnoliopsida; Poales; Poaceae. The record is from RNAcentral.